Molecule: long non-coding RNA, 924 nt
Organism: Micropterus dolomieu (smallmouth bass)
Lineage: Eukaryota; Metazoa; Chordata; Actinopteri; Centrarchiformes; Centrarchidae
Exons: 3
Source: RefSeq, a predicted model, not a curated record
UCAAGUUACAGAUUAACAUCUGUGAACUGUCAUUUGAUCUAUCUUUUGUUGAGCUUUAUUACAUGAGGGUCCUGCAUGAAUCGAUAUCCAUAUAUCGGUCUGUUCACAUACCAUAAUUCUCUCUGCCAUGCUCUCGGUUAGGAUGUCGUCUGCCUGCAAGGACUGAAUGAGCAGCUCAUCCACCACCAGCUGCUUGCAGAGAAUAGCAGAGCGUUUCCGCAGAGCCCGUCUGUCCCGCUCCAGCAUGCCACACUCCAACAUUUUGCCCCAACAGACUGAGUAACGUUAUAGGACAGGGCAGAAUUGUGGGCCUUAUCUCUGGGAGCUGGGUGUGUUCCCCCAGCUGCAGGCAAUCAGCAUUUCACACACCUGUCUCCUAUGAUCAUCUGGGCUGGUUUAUGUACCCUGCCAUCUCCACAGUUCCCUGCUGGAUUUUUAAGUCUUUGUCUUUUGGAGACCCUGCCCUGCCCUGGAGUCGCUCAGUCACGGAGAACGCCUGGCUGGAGAUCUCUCCACAGUAGACGCUCUUCCCAUUCAGCCCUGUUACCCGCCUUACCUGCCUUUGCUCUUACCUGCCCCGCCACACCGGAGGAACCUACCUCCUGCACCAAGCCUUUCAACCAUAUCUUGUGUUCAAUAAACUGAGUAAAUAUCCUUCCGAGCUGAGUUCUUGUUUGCAUUUGGGUUCGAGCCACAAAAUCCCUGACAGUUUUAGCACUUUUAAUUAACUGAUCUGAGUACUUCUUCCACAUCUGGUUAAAAAAAAAAAAAAUACGCAUUUACAUUAAAAAAUUCACUUUUAUCAGUUUGAUUGAUAAUUACCCUGCAUACCUCUUUCACCAAUCAUACAAGCAUUAUUUGAUUAAGAUACACAGUUCCAUAGAAAUGUAAUUUGUAUCAUUUGACACCCCAUCUCUGUUAGUC